RNAcentral lists this ribosomal RNA (917 nucleotides) under Pleosporales sp. RNAcentral describes it as "partial large subunit ribosomal RNA". It matches the Rfam family "Eukaryotic large subunit ribosomal RNA", at positions 34 to 969 of the family's 3401-position model. Lineage: Eukaryota; Fungi; Ascomycota; Dothideomycetes; Pleosporales. The record is from RNAcentral.
CUAGCAUAUCAAUAAGCGGAGGAAAAGAAACCAACAGGGAUUGCCUUAGUAACGGCGAGUGAAGCGGCAACAGCUCAAAUUUGAAAUCUGGCCCUUUUAGGGUCCGAGUUGUAAUUUGCAGAGGGUGCUUUGGCGUUAGUAGCGAUCUAAGUUCCUUGGAACAGGACGUCACAGAGGGUGAGAAUCCCGUACGUGGUUGCUCUACUUUCGCCGUGUAAAGCCCCUUCGACGAGUCGAGUUGUUUGGGAAUGCAGCUCUAAAUGGGAGGUAAAUUUCUUCUAAAGCUAAAUACCGGCCAGAGACCGAUAGCGCACAAGUAGAGUGAUCGAAAGAUGAAAAGCACUUUGGAAAGAGAGUCAAAAAGCACGUGAAAUUGUUGAAAGGGAAGCGCUUGCAGCCAGACGUGCCUGUAGUUGCUCAUCCGGGCUUUUGCCCGGUGCACUCUUCUGCAGGCAGGCCAGCAUCAGUUUGAGCGGCUGGAUAAAGACCUCUGUCACGUACCUCCUUCCGGGGAGGCCUUAUAGGGGAGGUGUCAUGCAGCCAGCCUAGACUGAGGUCCGCGCAUCUGCUAGGAUGCUGGCGUAAUGGCUGUAAGCGGCCCGUCUUGAAACACGGACCAAGGAGUCUAACAUCUAUGCAAGUGUUUGGGUGUCAAGCCCGGGCGCGCAAUGAAAGUGAACGGAGGUGAGAACCCUUCGGGGCGCACCAUCGACCGAUCCUGAUGUCUUCGGAUGGAUUUGAGUAAGAGCAUAGCUGUUGGGACCCGAAAGAUGGUGAACUAUGCUUGAAUAGGGUGAAGCCAGAGGAAACUCUGGUGGAAGCUCGCAGCGGUUCUGACGUGCAAAUCGAUCGUCAAUUUGUGACAUAGGGGCGACAGACUAAUCUAACUAUCUAGUAGCUGGUUACAUGCUGAUUUC